Molecule: ribosomal RNA, 429 nt
Filed under: uncultured bacterium
Lineage: Bacteria
Description: bacterial SSU rRNA
Rfam family: Bacterial small subunit ribosomal RNA
Source: RNAcentral
UGGGGAAUUUUGGACAAUGGGCGCAAGCCUGAUCCAGCCAUUCCGCGUGAGUGAAGAAGGCCUUCGGGUUGUAAAGCUCUUUCGCAAGGGAAGAAAACUUAUCCUCUAACAUAGGAUGAGGUUGACGGUACCUUGAUAAGAAGCACCGGCUAACUACGUGCCAGCAGCCGCGGUAAUACGUAGGGUGCGAGCGUUAAUCGGAAUUACUGGGCGUAAAGCGUGCGCAGGCGGUUCUAUAAGACAGAUGUGAAAUCCCCGGGCUUAACCUGGGAACUGCGUUUGUGACUGUAGGACUUGAGUGUGGCAGAGGGGGGUGGAAUUCCACGUGUAGCGGUGAAAUGCGUAGAGAUGUGGAGGAACACCGAUGGCGAAGGCAGCCCCCUGGGUCAACACUGACGCUCAUGCACGAAAGCGUGGGGAGCAAACAGG